RNAcentral lists this ribosomal RNA (1346 nucleotides) under uncultured bacterium. Its description in RNAcentral is "bacterial SSU rRNA". It matches the Rfam family "Bacterial small subunit ribosomal RNA", at positions 28 to 1381 of the family's 1533-position model. The record is from RNAcentral.
GACGAACGCUUGCGGCGUGCUUAACACAUGCAAGUCGAACGGAAAGGCCCUGCUUUUGUGGGGUGCUCGAGUGGCGAACGGGUGAGUAACACGUGAGUAACCUGCCCUUGACUUUGGGAUAACUUCAGGAAACUGGGGCUAAUACCGGAUAGGAGCUCCUGCUGCAUGGUGGGGGUUGGAAAGUUUCGGCGGUUGGGGAUGGACUCGCGGCUUAUCAGCUUGUUGGUGGGGUAGUGGCUUACCAAGGCUUUGACGGGUAGCCGGCCUGAGAGGGUGACCGGCCACAUUGGGACUGAGAUACGGCCCAGACUCCUACGGGAGGCAGCAGUGGGGAAUAUUGCACAAUGGGCGGAAGCCUGAUGCAGCAACGCCGCGUGCGGGAUGACGGCCUUCGGGUUGUAAACCGCUUUCGCCUGUGACGAAGCGUGAGUGACGGUAAUGGGUAAAGAAGCACCGGCUAACUACGUGCCAGCAGCCGCGGUGAUACGUAGGGCGCGAGCGUUGUCCGGAUUUAUUGGGCGUAAAGGGCUCGUAGGUGGUUGAUCGCGUCGGAAGUGUAAUCUUGGGGCUUAACCCUGAGCGUGCUUUCGAUACGGGUUGACUUGAGGAAGGUAGGGGAGAAUGGAAUUCCUGGUGGAGCGGUGGAAUGCGCAGAUAUCAGGAGGAACACCAGUGGCGAAGGCGGUUCUCUGGGCCUUUCCUGACGCUGAGGAGCGAAAGCGUGGGGAGCGAACAGGCUUAGAUACCCUGGUAGUCCACGCUGUAAACGGUGGGUACUAGGUGUGGGGUCCAUUCCACGGGUUCCGUGCCGUAGCUAACGCUUUAAGUACCCCGCCUGGGGAGUACGGCCGCAAGGCUAAAACUCAAAGGAAUUGACGGGGCCCCGCACAAGCGGCGGAGCAUGCGGAUUAAUUCGAUGCAACGCGUAGAACCUUACCUGGGUUUGACAUGGAUCGGGAGUGCUCAGAGAUGGGUGUGCCUCUUUUGGGGUCGGUUCACAGGUGGUGCAUGGCUGUCGUCAGCUCGUGUCGUGAGAUGUUGGGUUAAGUCCCGCAACGAGCGCAACCCUUGUUCACUGUUGCCAGCACGUUAUGGUGGGGACUCAGUGGAGACCGCCGGGGUCAACUCGGAGGAAGGUGGGGAUGACGUCAAGUCAUCAUGCCCCUUAUGUCCAGGGCUUCACGCAUGCUACAAUGGCUGGUACAGAGAGUGGCGAGCCUGUGAGGGUGAGCGAAUCUCGGAAAGCCGGUCUCAGUUCGGAUUGGGGUCUGCAACUCGACCUCAUGAAGUCGGAGUCGCUAGUAAUCGCAGAUCAGCAACGCUGCGGUGAAUACGUUCCCGGGGCU